This 324-nucleotide small nuclear RNA is filed under the name Octodon degus (degu). RNAcentral describes it as "7SK RNA (ENSODEG00000023782.1)". It matches the Rfam family "7SK RNA". From Rfam's summary of the family: 7SK was discovered as an abundant small nuclear RNA in the mid-70s but a possible function has only recently been suggested. Two independent studies have found that 7SK RNA binds the CDK9/cyclin T complex (known as elongation factor P-TEFb). P-TEFb activates transcription by phosphorylating the C-terminal domain of RNA polymerase II. Lineage: Eukaryota; Metazoa; Chordata; Mammalia; Rodentia; Octodontidae. The record is from RNAcentral.
AGAUGAUCUGGCUGCGACAUCUGUCACCGCAUUGAUCGCCAGGGUUGAUUCGGCUGAUCUGGCUGCCUAGGCUGGUGUCCCCUUCCUCCCUCAAUGAUCUAUGUGUGUCCCUCCCGAAGCUGCGCACUCGGUCGAAGAGGACGACCACCCCCAAUAGAGGAGGACCGUUCCUCAGUCAAGGUUAUACGAGUAGAUGCUCUCCCCUGCUAGAACCUCCAAACAUUUUAUUUAAUUUUGAUCAACUUAAUGACAGGACAGUGGAUACCUCAUUGAGUAAGUGACCACAUAGAACUUCUUCAGAUUAGGGUCCAAUAAUCAGGCCAG